RNAcentral lists this ribosomal RNA (464 nucleotides) under uncultured bacterium. RNAcentral's name for it is "bacterial SSU rRNA". It matches the Rfam family "Bacterial small subunit ribosomal RNA", at positions 1 to 507 of the family's 1533-position model. The record is from RNAcentral.
CAGUAGUCACGUAGUUGACUCCGUGGCUACAGAACGACGCUGGCGGCAUGCCUAACACAUGCAAGUCGAACGAAGCCUUCGGGCUUAGUGGCGCACGGGUGCGUAACGCGUGGGAACCUACCAUCAGGUUCGGAAUAACAGUUAGAAAUGACUGCUAAUACCGGAUAAUGUCUUCGGACCAAAGAUUUAUCGCCUUUUGAUGGGCCCGCGUAAGAUUAGGUAGUUGGUGGGGUAAAGGCCUACCAAGCCGACGAUCUUUAGCUGGUCUGAGAGGAUGAUCAGCCACACUGGGACUAAGACACGGGCCAGACUCCUACGGGAGGCAGCAGUAGGGAAUAUUGGACAAUGGGCGAAAGCCUGAUCCAGCAAUGCCGCGUGAGUGAUGAAGGCCUUAGGGUUGUAAAGCUCUUUUACCAGGGAUGAUAAUGACAGUACCUGGAGAAUAAGCUCCGGCUAACUCCGUG